UACAGAGACCUCAAACGUUAUCCGGAUUCAUUGGGCGUAAAGCGUCCGCAGGUGGUGUUGUUAGUCAGUUGUCAAAUCCUGGUGCUUAACACCAGGACUGCGAUUGAUACUGCAACACUCGAGGUUGGAAGAGGCAAGCGGAACUACCGGUGUAGUCGUAAUAAGCGCUGAUAUCGGUAGGAACACCAAAGGCGAAGGCAGCUUGCUAGUACAUACCUGACACUCAUGGACGAAAGCGUGGGUAGCGAAUGGG
This 253-nucleotide unclassified non-coding RNA is filed under the name Patescibacteria group bacterium. Its description in RNAcentral is "contains 16S-23S intergenic spacer region". It matches the Rfam family "Bacterial small subunit ribosomal RNA", at positions 524 to 776 of the family's 1533-position model. The record is from RNAcentral.